Molecule: signal recognition particle RNA, 148 nt
Filed under: Nomascus leucogenys (northern white-cheeked gibbon)
Lineage: Eukaryota; Metazoa; Chordata; Mammalia; Primates; Hylobatidae
Description: Metazoan signal recognition particle RNA
Rfam family: Metazoan signal recognition particle RNA
About the family: The signal recognition particle (SRP) is a universally conserved ribonucleoprotein. It is involved in the co-translational targeting of proteins to membranes. The eukaryotic SRP consists of a 300-nucleotide 7S RNA and six proteins: SRPs 72, 68, 54, 19, 14, and 9.
Source: Rfam by way of RNAcentral
GCUGGGCGUGGUGGCGCAUGCCUGUAAUCCCAGCUACUCAGGAGGCUGAGGCAGGAGAAUUGCUUGAACCCGGGAGGCAGAGGUUGCAGUGAGCCAAGAUCAGGCCAUUGCACUCCAGCCUGGGUGACAGAGCAAGACUCUGUCUCAG